This 1381-nucleotide ribosomal RNA is filed under the name Eimeria bovis. Its description in RNAcentral is "SSU rRNA". It matches the Rfam family "Eukaryotic small subunit ribosomal RNA", at positions 157 to 1565 of the family's 1831-position model. Lineage: Eukaryota; Apicomplexa; Conoidasida; Eucoccidiorida; Eimeriidae. The record is from RNAcentral.
UCUAUGGCUAAUACAUGCGCAAAUGCCUCCAUCUCUGGAGGGGCUGUGUUUAUUAGAUACAAAACCAACCCACUUCUGUGGAGUCCUGGUGAUUCAUAGUAACCGAACGGAUCGCAUUUGGCUUCGGCCCGCGAUAGAUCUUUCAAGUUUCUGACCUAUCAGCUUUCGACGGUAGGGUAUUGGCCUACCGUGGCAGUGACGGGUAACGGGGAAUUAGGGUUCGAUUCCGGAGAGGGAGCCUGAGAAACGGCUACCACAUCUAAGGAAGGCAGCAGGCGCGCAAAUUACCCAAUGAAAACAGUUUCGAGGUAGUGACGAGAAAUAACAAUACAGGGCAUUUUAUGCUCUGUAAUUGGAAUGAUGGGAAUGUAAAACCCUUCCAGAGUAACAAUUGGAGGGCAAGUCUGGUGCCAGCAGCCGCGGUAAUUCCAGCUCCAAUAGUGUAUAUUAGAGUUGUUGCAGUUAAAAAGCUCGUAGUUGGAUUUCUGCUGUGGUCAUCCGGUACCGCCCGUAUGGGUGCGCACCUGGUUUGGCUCCGGCUUUCUUCCUGUAGCCGUCCGCGCUUAAUUGCGUGUACUGUGUUACGGAACUUUUACUUUGAGAAAAAUAGAGUGUUUCAAGCAGGCUUGUCGCCCUGAAUACUUCAGCAUGGAAUAAUAGGAUAGGACCUUGGUUCUAUUUUGUUGGUUUCUAGGACCAAGGUAAUGAUUAAUAGGGACAGUUGGGGGCAUUCGUAUUUAACUGUCAGGGGUGAAAUUCUUAGAUUUGUUAAAGACGAACUACUGCGAAAGCAUUUGCCAAGGAUGUUUUCAUUAAUCAAGAACGACAGUAGGGGGUUUGAAGACGAUUAGAUACCGUCGUAAUCUCUACCAUAAACUAUGCCGACUAGAGAUUGGGAAAUGCCUACCUUGGCUUCUCCUGCACCUCAUGAGAAAUCAAAGUCUCUGGGUUCUGGGGGGAGUAUGGUCGCAAGGCUGAAACUUAAAGGAAUUGACGGAAGGGCACCACCAGGCGUGGAGCCUGCGGCUUAAUUUGACUCAACACGGGGAAACUCACCAGGUCCAGACAUGGGAAGGAUUGACAGAUUGAUAGCUCCUUCUUGAUUCUAUGGGUGGUGGUGCAUGGCCGUUCUUAGUUGGUGGAGUGAUCUGUCUGGUUAAUUUCGAUAACGAACGAGACCUUAGCCUGCUAAAUAGGAUCGGGAACUACGGUUCUCGUAUCACUUCUUAGAGGGACUUUGCGUGUCUAACGCAGGGAAGUUUGAGGCAAUAACGGGUCUGUGAUGCCCUUAGAUGUUCUGGGCUGCACGCGCGCUACACUGAUGCAUGCAACGAGUUCUUGACCUUGGCCGGAAGGUCUAGGUAAUCUUUUGAGUGUGCAU